Molecule: ribosomal RNA, 2995 nt
Filed under: Candidatus Cenarchaeum symbiosum
Lineage: Archaea; Thermoproteati; Nitrososphaerota; Candidatus Cenarchaeales; Candidatus Cenarchaeaceae
Also listed under: 1 other name
Description: Cenarchaeum symbiosum 23S ribosomal RNA
Source: RNAcentral
AACCGGUGUUUUGGUCGAUUAGUAAAGGCUGGCUCACCACUCGCCGAAGCUUGUGGGAUACACCACCUUCCUAUCAACGCAGUCUUCUUCUGCGAACCUUCAUCCGAAGAAGGAAUAUCUUGUCUCGGGAUAGGAUUCGUGCUUAGAUGCUUUCAGCACUUAGCCUAGAUGGCUUAGCUGCCCGGCCUGCCCUGUCGGACAACCGGUAGACCAGUGGCCACGCCUCUCUGUUCCUCUCGUACUAAGAGCGACUUCCCCUCAGAUAUUCGCGCUUCCAUCAGGCAGAGGCCGACCUGUCUCACGACGGUCUAAACCCAGCUCAUGUUCCCUUUUAAUAGGCGAGCAGCCUCACCCUUGGCCCCUGCUGCAGGACCAGGAUAGGAAAAGCCGACAUCGAGGUACCAAACCGCGGGGUCGAUAGGAGCUCUCGCCCGCGACGAGCCUGUUAUCCCUGGGGUAAUUUUUCUGUCACCUCCGGGCCCCAAUAGUGGGCACACGAAGGAUCGCUAAGCCAGACUUUCGUCUAUGAAUUCCGUGCGUUUGGAAAUCCAUUCAGUCUAGUUUUUGGCUUUGCCCUCUUCAGCGGAUUUCUGACCCGCUUGAACUAAACUUUGGGCCCCUUUGAUAUCUUUUCAAAGGGGUGCCGCCCCAGCCGAACUGCCCACCUGCACAUGUCCCCGGUCUUCACCGGGUAAGUGGCACUGCAGGAAAUGUCUGGUGUUACAUCGGCGUCCCCUGACGUCCCAAAGAACGCCAGGAAAUGACUCCCAGAUACGCUAUGCACUCCCUGCUAUACCACAAGCACAAGCUGCAGUAAAACUCCACGGGGUCUUCUCUCCCCGAUGGAAGAUGAUGGACUGUUCGUCCACCUUAUGUGGCUUCACCGGGUUGUAGGCGGGGACAGUGGGGCUCUCGUUGUUCCAUUCAUGCACGUCGGAACUUACCCGACAAGGCAUUUGGCUACCUUAAGAGAGUCAGAGUUACUCCCGGCGUUAACCGGUCCUUAGCUCGGUUGAACCCAAGUUUUAGAUACCGGCACCGGCCAGGAUUCAGCGACUAUACAUACCCUUUCGGGCUAGCAGUCGCCUGUGUUUUUAUUAAACAGUCGAAACCCCCUUGUCACUGCAACCUGCUGCCGCCAUUCCUCAUGACAGCUGCAGGCAUCCCUUAUACCUAAGCUACAGGACUAAUUUGCCGAAUUCCCUCGCCAUACGGUAUACCCGUAGCACCUUAGUUUACUAAACCAGCGCACCUGUGUCGGAUCUGGGUACGAACUUGCAGUUUGCUAGCCGCACGGUCUUUCAUGGUCUCCUGGAAUCGGGAAAACUCUGCUAACGCAAAGCCACUCCCGCCUCGGGCCUGUUCUCGUCAUUACGACACUCCCAGGCCCUCGAACGGUUCGACACGACGACGGUCAUGUUCCCCCUAUCCGGAAGCGAACCAUGCGGUUCAAACGCUCCCUGCAAGGUACCAGAAUAUUAACUGGUUUCCCAUUCGGACUACUCUGUUGAGGCAGUCCUUAGGAUCGACUAACUCCAGGCUGACGACGCAUUGCCUGGAAACCCUUGCGCUUACGGUGGUGCGGAUUCUCACCGCACUAUGCUGUUACUGCCACCAGGAUCUGCAAUAGAAAUCGGUCCACAGGACGUCACCGCCCUGCUUCGUCCCAAUCACUACGCCAACCUACCACGGUGCACCUAUCACGGUGCACGUCUGGAGUAUCGGUACUCUGCUUUAGCCCCGUCCGUUUUUGUGGCGCCCUCGCUCGGCAGGUAAGUUGUUACACACUUUUUGAAGGAUAGCUACUUCUGAGCUUACCUCCCUGCUGUCUUGGCGAUGACACGCACUUUGGCUUGACACUUAGCAGAAAUUUGGGGACCUUAACUCCAGUCUGGGUUAAACCCCUCUCGGUCGUGAACCUUACGUCACACGAACCCGUGUCCAUGCUUCUGCGAUGUGUAUCCGUUCGGAGUUUGAAUGGAUGGUGAGGAAUCUCUUCCCCGCGCCACCCUAUCAGUGCUCUACCGGAAACACCAUCUCCACAUAGCACGCCCUGCGAGACGCUUCGGUUGGAACUAGCAAGCGCCAGUCUAGAUUGGUUUUUGACCCCUAUUCCCAAGUCACACAAACGAGUUGCACGUCAGAACUGCUGCAGACCUCCAGUGGGCUUUCGCCCACCUUCAUCUUGCUCAGGAAUAGAUCGACUGGCUUCUAGCCUUACCGCCAUGACUUAACGCACUUUCACACGCUUCUCCUCACAAUGCUGCGAGAAUUCGGUUUCCCUUCGGCUACGCCUUUCUAGGCUUAACCUCGCCAUGACAGCAAGCUCCCUGGCCCGUGUUUCGAGACGGAACGCAUGACACUGACGACAUGAGCUCCGGACUUUCAGCUCCAUUGCUGGAACCUCCGGUCCGAAAAAAUCGUCUUUCAUGCCAUGCACGUCUGUAAGCAAUAGGUUUCAUGCACUUUUCACCCCCCUUCCGGGGUACUUUUCAGCUUUCCCUCACGGUACUAGUACACUAUCGGUCUUGAGAGAUAUUUAGCCUUUGAUGCUACUUUCACCAAUCUUCGCUGCCCACUGCCAAGGACAACUACUCGGGUGCUGGCCCUGCCCCAUUCCACUUCGUCUAGGGGGGUAUCACCCUCUAAGCCGGAACAUUUCAGAACACUUCAACUAUUUCCUGGGGCCAUUGCGCCGCACCAAAACACCACAUCUCGGCCGCGUUACCGCGGCAGAUUCAGUUUGGGCUCUUUCCUUUUCGAUCGCCUCUACUUGGGAAAUCUCUAUUGAUUUCUCUUCCUCGUGGUACUAAGAUGCUUCAAUUCCCACGGUUCGACCUCCGCUUGCGCGGAGUAUACAGGAUUCCUAUUCGGAAAUCUCGGGAUCAACGGGUGCGUGCACCUACCCCGAGCUUAUCGCAGCUUGCCACGUCCUUCUUCUCUCCUCAAGCCUAGCAAUCCUCCUAUUGCCGUCUUUACACCGGCAUAUUCAGCC